GGUUGUGGCUCAGUGGCAGAGAGCUUGCCUAGCACACAUGAGGCACUGGGUUCAAUCCCUGGCACCA
This 67-nucleotide transfer RNA is filed under the name Marmota monax (woodchuck). RNAcentral describes it as "tRNA.Ala". The record is from RNAcentral. Lineage: Eukaryota; Metazoa; Chordata; Mammalia; Rodentia; Sciuridae.